Molecule: ribosomal RNA, 427 nt
Filed under: uncultured prokaryote
Description: bacterial SSU rRNA
Rfam family: Bacterial small subunit ribosomal RNA
Source: RNAcentral
UGGGGAAUUUUGGACAAUGGGCGCAAGCCUGAUCCAGCAAUGCCGCGUGCAGGAUGAAGGCCUUCGGGUUGUAAACUGCUUUUGUACGGAGCGAAAAGGUUUUCUCUAAUACAGGAGGCCCAUGACGGUACCGUAAGAAUAAGCACCGGCUAACUACGUGCCAGCAGCCGCGGUAAUACGUAGGGUGCAAGCGUUAAUCGGAAUUACUGGGCGUAAAGCGUGCGCAGGCGGUGUUGUAAGACAGAGGUGAAAUCCCCGGGCUCAACCUGGGAACUGCCUUUGUGACUGCAACGCUAGAGUACGGCAGAGGGGGAUGGAAUUCCGCGUGUAGCAGUGAAAUGCGUAGAUAUGCGGAGGAACACCGAUGGCGAAGGCAAUCCCCUGGGCCUGUACUGACGCUCAUGCACGAAAGCGUGGGGAGCAAACA